RNAcentral lists this ribosomal RNA (460 nucleotides) under uncultured bacterium. Its description in RNAcentral is "partial 16S ribosomal RNA". It matches the Rfam family "Bacterial small subunit ribosomal RNA", at positions 338 to 795 of the family's 1533-position model. The record is from RNAcentral.
CCUACGGGAGGCUGCAGUGAGGAAUAUUGGUCAAUGGACGAGAGUCUGAACCAGCCAAGUAGCGUGAAGGAUGACUGCCCUAUGGGUUGUAAACUUCUUUUAUAUGGGAAUAAAACGUUCCACGUGUGGGAUUUUGUAUGUACCAUAUGAAUAAGGAUCGGCUAACUCCGUGCCAGCAGCCGCGGUAAUACGGAGGAUCCGAGCGUUAUCCGGCUUUAUUGGGUUUAAAGGGAGCGUAGGUGGAUUGUUAAGUCAGUUGUGAAAGUUUGCGGCUCAACCGUAAAAUUGCAGUUGAAACUGGCAGUCUUGAGUACAGUAGAGGUGGGCGGAAUUCGUGGUGUAGCGGUGAAAUGCUUAGAUAUCACGAAGAACUCCGAUUGCGAAGGCAGUUCACUGGACUGCAACUGACACUGAGGCUCGAAAGUGUGGGUAUCAAACAGGAUUAGAUACCCUUGUAGUC